UACGUAGGGUGCAAGCGUUGUCCGGAAUCAUUGGGCGUAAAGCGCGCGUAGGUGGCUUCGUAAGUCCGUUGUGAAAGUCAAAGGCUCAACCUUUGAAAGCCGAUGGAUACUGCGGAGCUAGAGUACGGAAGAGGCGAGUGGAAUUCCUGGUGUAGCGGUGGAAUGCGCAGAUAUCAGGAGGAACACCAAUAGCGAAGGCAGCUCGCUGGGACGUUACUGACACUAAGGCGCGAAAGCGUGGGGAGCGAACAGG
RNAcentral lists this ribosomal RNA (253 nucleotides) under uncultured bacterium. RNAcentral's name for it is "partial 16S ribosomal RNA". It matches the Rfam family "Bacterial small subunit ribosomal RNA", at positions 524 to 776 of the family's 1533-position model. The record is from RNAcentral.